Molecule: unclassified non-coding RNA, 944 nt
Filed under: Hevea brasiliensis (rubber tree)
Lineage: Eukaryota; Viridiplantae; Streptophyta; Magnoliopsida; Malpighiales; Euphorbiaceae
Source: RNAcentral
UGUGGCAUGCCUUUGCUAAAUGGAACCAUUUCUGGCAUGGUCUCAUGUCAAAUUUACAACAUGGUGCUGUCAUAUAUUUGGGCUAAUGAUAAAACUGUCCAAGCAGCUCUUCAUGUUCGAGAGGGAACCAUAAAGGGUUGGGAGAGAUACAAUAGCAGCUUAAAUUCCACUAAUUACACACAUGAUAUCACAUCCAGUGUUUCGUAUCAACAAAACCUUACCAAGAAAGGCUUUCAUGCUUUAAUUUACAGGUAUGCAAUAUGCAUAAAGGAUAAAGCUUAGGCCUACUCUUACUCACUCAGAUGAUUCAUAAAUCCUCAAGGCAUAAUUGGAUAUUGGUCCAGGCAAAGAUAACAAAUAAAGAACUAAAAAAGUAAAAAGCAAGAAUGACACGUGGAAUAAAAAAUGUUCACUUUCAUUUCUUAAAGUAUAUACAAAAAUACAUGAAGUGCAAAGCAAAAAGAGGGGCAAUCGCCUAUACAUGGAAAAUUACCGGGCAUCCUUAGCAUCUUCGACAUCUGGAUCGAAUCUUUCCUCCCUAUCAUCGCCCAUGGCUAAAAAAUCAGCACCCUUAGGAAGUAAGUCCUUCACCCAGCUGAAGUCCUUAUCUAGAUGCCUCUCAUAAGGAUCAGCCAUGACUUCCGUUUGCAAGUCCAAGUAUGUAUCAACCAACUUAGCUAUUACUGCCUCCUCCUGGUACCUUAUUUGAGUGUUUAGUUGUUUAAUUUCCUAAGCACGAACAACCCAGACAAACUUAAACUUAGCCUCUAGCUCACCAACUUACCCCUCAGCAGCCUCCAGGAGCCCUUUCAGCUCUUGAUUGACUCUGAUGAUUUACAUCCUUUAUUGCCAUCUUAAUGAAGUUAUGUUGCGACUACAUCUCCCCAUAACUUUACUUUAGUAGCUUAAACUUCUCCCGAACCAUUUGGGAAACUGACAAUGCC